ACCAGACUCCUACGGGAGGCAGCAGUGGGGAGUAUUGCACAAUGGGGGAAACCCUGAUGCAGCGACGCCGCGUGAGCGAUGAAGUAUUUCGGUAUGUAAAGCUCUAUCAGCAGGGAAGAAAAUGACGGUACCUGGCGAAGAAGCCCCGGCUAACUACGUGCCAGCAGCCGCGGUAAUACGUGGGGGGCAAGCGUUAUCCGGAUUCACUGGGUGUAAAGGGAGCGCAGGCGGUACGGCGAGUCUGAUGUGAAAACCCGGGGCCCAACCCCGGGACCGCACCGGAUACUGCCGGACUCGAGUGCCGGAGGGGCAGGCGGAAUUCCUGGUGUAGCGGUGAAAUGCGCAGAUAUCAGGAGGAACACCGGUGGCGAAGGCGGCCUGCUGGACUGCAACUGACGUUGAGGCCCGAAAGCGUGGGGAGCAAACAGGAUUAGAUACCCUCGUAC
Molecule: ribosomal RNA, 446 nt
Filed under: uncultured bacterium
Lineage: Bacteria
Description: bacterial SSU rRNA
Rfam family: Bacterial small subunit ribosomal RNA
Source: RNAcentral